CAGAGCAGGUGCAGAGGCACUGCAGCUGCCCGGUUGCCCAGCCUCCUGAAUGAUGCCAGCCCAGUAUGCUCUAACCUCCAGCCUGGUUCUCCUUGUGCUGCUGAGCACAGCCAGAGCAGGCCCCUUCUCUUCACGGUCCAAUGUGACACUGCCAGCCCCCCGGCCCCCUCCCCAGCCAGGGGGCCGCACAGUGGGGGCUGGAGUGGGAAGCCCCUCUUCUCAGCUUUACGAGCACACAGUGGAAGGAGGGGAGAAGCAGGUGGUAUUCACCCACCGCAUUAACCUGCCCCCUUCCACUGGCUGUGGCUGUCCCCCAGGCACCGAGCCCCCAGUCCCUGCUUCAGAGGUACAGGCCCUGAGGGUCCGUCUAGAAAUCCUGGAGGAGUUGGUGAAGGGGCUCAAGGAACAGUGCACUGGAGGAUGUUGUCCUGCCUCUGCCCAAGCUGGCACAGGUGAGCAGGUGAUCACAGAAGAGGGUGGAGAGGUGGGCUGGGGUGGGCAUUGCUGGUCCAUAAAGGUCCUUGGUAUGAAUUAGAAGAAGGCACUCCUUCCUCACCAUGAGGGGUGUGGAUGCAGCCCAGAACACAACUUGGAGAGCAGAGCUGGGCUACAUGUCAACCAAAGCAUAUGCGAGGGCCCUGAGAGGCUGCAUACAUUACACAUACUAGCAACUGGGAGCAGACAUGGCCUUAUGAGAUGAGGCUAGCCUGGCUAGGGGCCUGCACAUAGGAGCACUAUAUAGGCUCAGCCUCUCUCCCAGGAGAGAGACUGAGACCUGCCUCUCCCUCCUACUCCAGGUCAGACAGAUGUGCGGACCCUCUGCAGUCUCCAUGGUGUGUUUGAUCUGAGCCACUGCACCUGUUCCUGUGAGCCAGGCUGGGGUGGGCCCACCUGCUCAGACCCCACAGAUGCUGAGAUCCCUCCCUCCUCCCCACCCUCAGCCUUGGGGUCCUGCCCAGAUGACUGCAAUGAUCAGGGUCGCUGUGUCCGUGGUCGUUGUGUGUGCUUUCCCGGCUACACUGGCCCCAGCUGUGGCUGGCCAUCCUGUCCCGGGGACUGCCAAGGCCGUGGGCGCUGCGUGCAGGGCGUGUGCGUGUGCCGGGCAGGCUUCUCAGGCCCCGACUGCAGCCAGCACUCCUGCCCUCGAGGUUGCAGCCAGAAGGGACGCUGUGAGGAUGGGCGCUGCGUGUGUGACCCAGGCUACACUGGUGACGACUGUGGCAUGAGGAGCUGCCCUCGCGGUUGCAGUCAGAGGGGGCGCUGUGAGAAUGGGCGCUGCGUGUGUAACCCCGGCUACACUGGCGAGGACUGUGGGGUGAGGAGCUGCCCUCGGGGCUGCAGCCAGCGGGGACGCUGCGAGGACGGGCGCUGCGUGUGUGACCCCGGCUACACUGGCGAGGACUGUGGUACGCGGAGCUGCCCCUGGGACUGUGGCGAGGGCGGGCGCUGCGUGGACGGCCGCUGCGUGUGCUGGCCCGGGUACACAGGCGAGGACUGCAGCACGCGGACAUGUCCGAGGGACUGCCGGGGCCGCGGGCGCUGCGAGGACGGCGAAUGCAUUUGCGACACGGGCUACAGCGGGGACGACUGUGGCGUGCGCAGCUGCCCUGGCGACUGCAACCAAAGGGGCCGCUGCGAGGACGGCCGCUGCGUGUGCUGGCCGGGGUACACUGGAACCGAUUGCGGCUCGCGCGCCUGCCCACGCGACUGUAGAGGUCGCGGGCGCUGCGAGAACGGCGUGUGUGUUUGCAAUGCGGGCUACAGCGGCGAGGACUGCGGUGUGCGCAGCUGUCCUGGGGACUGUCGUGGCCGGGGCCGCUGUGAGAGUGGCCGCUGCGUGUGUUGGCCGGGGUACACAGGCCGGGACUGCGGCACGCGCGCCUGUCCUGGCGACUGUCGCGGGCGCGGGCGCUGCGUGGAUGGCCGCUGCGUGUGCAACCCGGGCUUCACCGGUGAGGACUGUGGGAGCCGUCGCUGUCCCGGGGACUGCCGUGGGCACGGCCGUUGCGAGGAUGGCGUGUGCGUGUGUGACGCAGGCUACUCAGGGGAAGACUGCAGCACGCGCAGCUGCCCCGGGGGCUGCCGAGGCCGCGGCCAGUGCCUAGAUGGGCGGUGUGUGUGCGAGGACGGCUACUCUGGCGAGGAUUGCGGUGUGAGGCAGUGCCCGAAUGACUGCAGCCAGCACGGCGUGUGCCAGGACGGUGUGUGCAUCUGUUGGGAAGGCUACGUGGGUGAGGACUGCAGCAUCCGCACCUGCCCCUCCAACUGCCACGGGAGGGGCCGCUGUGAGGAAGGGCGCUGCCUGUGCGACCCAGGCUACACCGGCCCCACCUGUGCCACCCGCAUGUGCCCGGCUGACUGCCGGGGACGUGGGCGCUGUGUGCAAGGAGUGUGCCUGUGCCACGUGGGCUAUGGCGGUGAGGACUGCGGGCAGGAAGAGCCUCCAGCCAGCGCCUGCCCUGGAGGCUGCGGGCCCCGGGAACUGUGCCGGGCAGGCCAGUGUGUGUGUGUAGAGGGCUUCCGAGGCCCUGACUGUGCCAUCCAGACAUGCCCAGGGGACUGCCGUGGCCGAGGAGAGUGUCACGAUGGCAGCUGUGUCUGCAAAGAUGGGUAUGCUGGCGAAGACUGCGGAGAAGGUGAGCAGGCAGCCUUCCCCAGUGUACUCUGG
This 2668-nucleotide small RNA is filed under the name Pan troglodytes (chimpanzee). Its description in RNAcentral is "retained intron". Lineage: Eukaryota; Metazoa; Chordata; Mammalia; Primates; Hominidae. The record is from RNAcentral.